Melospiza melodia melodia is the source of this 160-nucleotide long non-coding RNA. RefSeq lists it as uncharacterized. The record is from RefSeq and is a predicted model, not a curated record. NCBI's taxonomy places the organism in Eukaryota, Metazoa, Chordata, Aves, Passeriformes, Passerellidae. The transcript has 3 exons.
CAGUAAGAAGAAGGACAAAGAUUCUUUAGCUGCCCCAGCAAAGCAGCGUAACGCGUCACCAAAGGUCCAGCCAGUGAAGGAGAAGAAGAAGAAGGACGCUGCUGGUGGUGGCUUCAGCAACUCACUGAAGAAGUUCUUUGCAUGUGGAAAGACAGAAAAG